GACGGCAUGCAAGAGCACAUCCAUUGAAAAGGUUUCAUAAUGACCCGGGUUUUAACCGAGCGAGGACGGCCAAUGGUUUUGAGAGAGAUUCGGUCCAAUACGAAUCCAGAUUCGAAUACAGCUGGUUACUGAAAGCAAAAUUUAACAUUCAGGUUCCUCCGGCGUCUGGUGAUCAAGGCGUACUCCGGCUAACAUACACCGUUAUGAACAUUCGCCACUAAUCUCGAUCCACCCCGUGAGCAUUUGGAGAAGAUGAAAUAUCCAAACAACUACACAGUGAGCAUUUAGAGAAGAUGAACAUAUUGUGUGUGUUUCCUAAAAUUUUGCUAUGAAAUAUCCAAACAACUACCAAGAAUAUCCUCUAAUAUAUCAAGAUAUCAAUGUCUACGAUAUAACUAACCAUAACAACCGAUUUAAAAUUUUCUACAAUUAAUUUUCUUCCUUGCGAAUAAAGUCACAGUAUAUUCUCCCUAAAUACCCUAACAAACCUAGCGAUCUAUAUAUAUCGAUCGCACUACAUUUAACCUCAACCAUCACCUAAACUAAAUCGGUCCGCGCGAGUUUUUGUUUUCAUUUAUUUUAUA
Long non-coding RNA from Brassica rapa (field mustard), 584 nucleotides. RefSeq lists it as uncharacterized. The record is from RefSeq and is a predicted model, not a curated record. Lineage: Eukaryota; Viridiplantae; Streptophyta; Magnoliopsida; Brassicales; Brassicaceae.